Molecule: transfer RNA, 77 nt
Filed under: Candidatus Pseudomonas adelgestsugas
Lineage: Bacteria; Pseudomonadati; Pseudomonadota; Gammaproteobacteria; Pseudomonadales; Pseudomonadaceae
Description: tRNA-Arg
Rfam family: tRNA
About the family: Transfer RNA (tRNA) molecules are approximately 80 nucleotides in length. Their secondary structure includes four short double-helical elements and three loops (D, anti-codon, and T loops). Further hydrogen bonds mediate the characteristic L-shaped molecular structure. tRNAs have two regions of fundamental functional importance: the anti-codon, which is responsible for specific mRNA codon recognition, and the 3' end, to which the tRNAs corresponding amino acid is attached (by aminoacyl-tRNA synthetases). tRNAs cope with the degeneracy of the genetic code in two manners: having more than one tRNA (with a specific anti-codon) for a particular amino acid; and 'wobble' base-pairing, i.e. permitting non-standard base-pairing at the 3rd anti-codon position.
Source: RNAcentral
GCACUCGUAGCUCAGAUGGAUAGAGUACUCGGCUACGAACCGGGCGGUCACAGGUUCGAAUCCUGUCGAGUGCACCA